AGGAACCCCUCCUUAAGCAUGCUGAGGAAACGCCACAAAUUGGGAAAGCCAGGAUAGACCCGAAGACUGUCUAUAUACAACCAUGUUUGCCAAUGAGCUAACCAGUUCAAAGCGGCAAAUGUAAAUGGAAGAAAUGAGCAACGAUGUGAAAGGUAGUUAAUCUAGCUCAUUCAAACCUCCAAAGUUAAACCUGAAUCUAUCUGAAUUAUGGUGUCAACUCCUCUCUUCAUUUUAAUUGGAUAAAAUUACAGAGAAAAAAGAUUGUCCACUAGCAUGCUUAUUUAUAGUUCUAGGAUAAGACUGGGCGGAGGCAAGGUAAUCUAUCAACUUAUUUUUCAUUGCCUGUGAUCACUGCAUUUUUUUAUGAUCCUCUUUUUCAUGCACAUUGAUUUCUCCCAUGUAGCAACUCAGGAAACUGUAAAUGAUAAAUGAUUGUACUCACAAUUAAGCCAUUAAGGUAACACAGUCUUAUAAUAUGAAGAUGUAUUAUAAAACAAGUCUUAAGUGAAGAAGUUGUAGAAGUUCAGUUUUCAGUUCCAUUUUUUGACAAAUAUGCAAA
RNAcentral lists this long non-coding RNA (559 nucleotides) under Homo sapiens (human). Its description in RNAcentral is "HSALNT0139667". Lineage: Eukaryota; Metazoa; Chordata; Mammalia; Primates; Hominidae. The record is from RNAcentral.